RNAcentral lists this ribosomal RNA (468 nucleotides) under uncultured bacterium. Its description in RNAcentral is "partial 16S ribosomal RNA". It matches the Rfam family "Bacterial small subunit ribosomal RNA", at positions 28 to 507 of the family's 1533-position model. The record is from RNAcentral.
GACGAACGCUGGCGGCGUGCUUAACACAUGCAAGUCGAACGGAAAGGCCCUGCUUUUGUGGGGUGCUCGCGUGGCGAACGGGUGAGUAACCCGUGAGUAACCUGCCCAUGACUUUGGGAUAACUUCAGGAAACUGGGGCUACUACCGGCUAGGAGCUCCUGCUGCAUGGUGGGGGUUGGAAAGUUUAGGCGGUUGUGGAUGGACGGGCGGGUUAUCAGCUUGUUGGUGGGGUAGUGGCUUACCAAGGCUUUGACGGGUAGCCGGCCUGAGAGGGGGACCGGCGACAUGGGGACUGAGAUACGGACCAGACUCCUACGGGAGGCAGCAGUGGGGAAUAUUGCACAAUGGGCGGAAGCCUGAUGCAGCAACGCCGCGUGCGGGAUGACGGCCUUCGGGUUGUAAACCGCUUUCGCCUGUGACGAAGCGUGAGUGACGGUAAUGGGUAAAGAAGCACCGGCUAACUACGUG